Long non-coding RNA from Plodia interpunctella (Indianmeal moth), 639 nucleotides. RefSeq lists it as uncharacterized. The record is from RefSeq and is a predicted model, not a curated record. The transcript is spliced from 3 exons. NCBI's taxonomy places the organism in Eukaryota, Metazoa, Arthropoda, Insecta, Lepidoptera, Pyralidae.
UUGACUUUUUAUAUGUUUUCAUUUUCAAAAGCUUGUAUAAUAUUUGUUAAGUAAGUAGUUUCAUACAUACUUGAAGUGGAUAAAAUAUGGAAAACGUAAAUUUAAGCUGCACCCCUCCAGUUAUUAUACAAGAAGUCUGUGAUGAUAAAUCUUGCGGCACGGGCACGGAGCAAGACGCGCCGCUUCCGGGAGCGAGGUCGCCGGACGCCGGUGUGCGCGAACCUUUACGUUGCAGUGAUGGCGAGCGAGCAAUUCUCAACGGUUAUAUGUCGCUGGUUCGGAGAUGUAUCGAGUUGGCGGAAAAAGUAAUCGCUGUCGAGACAUUAGCCUCUGUUCGUCUAUAAGUCGCUUUCGAAUUUUGCGUUGGUCAGUUUCAACUUUGUCCCCAUACAUAUAAAACUCAAAAUUGUAGAACUAAUUAAUUAAACCGAAAAAAAAACAAUUAUGCUCAACAAUUUUCAGCUUUAUACGCAUGAGUAUAAAAUUGAAUUCCAAUGUAUUCGACGCGUAAAACUUACGCCUUUACGAAACAUGAUAAUGUUCUAGGUAGGUAGGCUAGGUAGUAGGAUGCGAUGUAUACGAGAUGUGAAGGUAUAUACCAUUUUGUAAUAUUUACUUUUUAUAUUAAAUAUGAUAUUA